RNAcentral lists this ribosomal RNA (1354 nucleotides) under Salmonella enterica subsp. arizonae. RNAcentral's name for it is "partial 23S ribosomal RNA". It matches the Rfam family "Bacterial large subunit ribosomal RNA", at positions 430 to 1777 of the family's 2925-position model. The record is from RNAcentral. Lineage: Bacteria; Pseudomonadati; Pseudomonadota; Gammaproteobacteria; Enterobacterales; Enterobacteriaceae.
UAUCCUGUCUGAAUAUGGGGGGACCAUCCUCCAAGGCUAAAUACUCCUGACUGACCGAUAGUGAACCAGUACCGUGAGGGAAAGGCGAAAAGAACCCCGGCGAGGGGAGUGAAACAGAACCUGAAACCGUGUACGUACAAGCAGUGGGAGCAUGAGUUUACUCAUGUGACUGCGUACCUUUUGUAUAAUGGGUCAGCGACUUAUAUUCUGUAGCAAGGUUAACCGUAUAGGGGAGCCGCAGGGAAACCGAGUCUUAAUUGGGCGUUAAGUUGCAGGGUAUAGACCCGAAACCCGGUGAUCUAGCCAUGGGCAGGUUGAAGGUUGGGUAACACUAACUGGAGGACCGAACCGACUAAUGUUGAAAAAUUAGCGGAUGACCUGUGGCUGGGGGUGAAAGGCCAAUCAAACCGGGAGAUAGCUGGUUCUCCCCGAAAGCUAUUUAGGUAGCGCCUCGUGAACUCAUCUCCGGGGGUAGAGCACUGUUUCGGCCAGGGGGCCAUCCCGGCUUACCAACCCGAUGCAAACUGCGAAUACCGGAGAAUGUUAUCACGGGAGACACACGGCGGGUGCUAACGUCCGUCGUGAAGAGGGAAACAACCCAGACCGCCAGCUAAGGUCCCAAAGUCAUGGUUAAGUGGGAAACGAUGUGGGAAGGCCCAGACAGCCAGGAUGUUGGCUUAGAAGCAGCCAUCAUUUAAAGAAAGCGUAAUAGCUCACUGGUCGAGUCGGCCUGCGCGGAAGAUGUAACGGGGCUAAACCAUGCACCGAAGCUGCGGCAGCGACACUGUGUGUUGUUGGGUAGGGGAGCGUUCUGUAAGCCUGCGAAGGUGUGCUGUGAGGCAUGCUGGAGGUAUCAGAAGUGCGAAUGCUGACAUAAGUAACGAUAAUGCGGGUGAAAAACCCGCACGCCGGAAGACCAAGGGUUCCUGUCCAACGUUAAUCGGGGCAGGGUGAGUCGACCCCUAAGGCGAGGCCGAAAGGCGUAGUCGAUGGGAAACAGGUUAAUAUUCCUGUACCUGGUGUUACUGCGAAGGGGGGACGGAGAAGGCUAUGUUGGCCGGGCGACGGUUGUCCCGGUUUAAGCGUGUAGGCUGGUUUUCCAGGCAAAUCCGGAAAAUCAAGGCUGAGGCGUGAUGACGAGGCACUACGGUGCUGAAGCAACAAAUGCCCAGCUUCCAGGAAAAGCCUCUAAGCCUCAGGUAACAUCAGAUCGUACCCGAAACCGACACAGGUGGUCAGGUAGAGAAUACCAAGGCGCUUGAGAGAACCCGGGUGAAGGAACUAGGCAAAAUGGUGCCGUAACUUCGGGAGAAGGCACGCUGACACGUAGGUGAAGCGGUUUUACCCGUGGAGC